This 301-nucleotide ribosomal RNA is filed under the name uncultured bacterium. RNAcentral describes it as "partial 16S ribosomal RNA". The stretch from base 54 to 301 matches the Rfam family "Bacterial small subunit ribosomal RNA", at positions 548 to 795 of the family's 1533-position model. The record is from RNAcentral.
UGCGAAUGGCGUGAGCGGAGGGGGGGUAUUGCGGAGGGUACGUGCGUUAAUUAGAAGUACUGGGGGUACAGCGUGCGCAGGCGGUUGAGUAAGUCAGAUGUGAAAUCCCCGAGCUCAAGCUGUGAACUGCAUUUGAGACUGCACGGAUAGUGUGUGGCAGAGGGGGGUGGAAUUCCACGUGUAGCAGUGAAAUGCGUAGGGGUGUGGAGGAACACCGAUGGCGAAGGCAGCCCCCUAGGCCAAUACUGACGCUCAUGCACGAAAGCGUGGGGAGCAAACAGGAUUAGAUACCCGAGUAGUC